This 460-nucleotide ribosomal RNA is filed under the name uncultured bacterium. RNAcentral's name for it is "bacterial SSU rRNA". It matches the Rfam family "Bacterial small subunit ribosomal RNA", at positions 85 to 565 of the family's 1533-position model. The record is from RNAcentral.
UGUCAGCUAAGUGGCGCAAUGGUGAGUAAUAUAUAGUUAAUCUGCCCCAAAGAAGAGAAUAAUUGUUGGAAACGACUUGUAAUGCUCUAUAUGCCUUUAUCACAUAAGUGAGCAAGGGAAAUAUUUAUAGCUUUGGGAUGAGACUGUACGGUAUCAGUUAGUUGGUGAGGUAAUGGCUCACCAAGACAAUGACGCCUAACUGGUUUGAGAGGAUGAUCAGUCACACUGGAACUGAGACACGGUCCAGACUCCUACGGGAGGCAGCAGUGGGGAAUAUUGCACAAUGGACGAAAGUCUGAUGCAGCAACGCCGCGUGGAGGAUGGCACAUUUCGGUGCGUAAACUCCUUUUAUAUGAGAAGAUAAUGACGGUAUCAUAUGAAUAAGCACCGGCUAACUUCGUGCCAGCAGCCGCGGUAAUACGAGGGGUGCAAGCGUUACUCGGAAUCACUGGGCGUAAAG